Molecule: long non-coding RNA, 1225 nt
Filed under: Coturnix japonica (Japanese quail)
Lineage: Eukaryota; Metazoa; Chordata; Aves; Galliformes; Phasianidae
Description: lncRNA (ENSCJPG00005017683.1)
Source: RNAcentral
UUCAGUUCAUCAGAAGCUGCCCCAUUUGGACAGAAGGUCAAGCAGAGGAUGGAGCCUGCCUGUCCCCAGCAUGUUCCCUGCCCUGGUGGAAAGAAGGCUGAAACGAUGAAUGCUCAUCCAUUUCCUCCUAGUGAAGAAAUUAACAGAACUUUGGCUGGUGAACAUGGGACAGCCAGAAGCAAACUGCAGAUCUCUCCAUUCAAGGUGCCUGUAUCAUCUCUGUGAUGCUUUGAAAACGUUAAUCAACUUCUUGCAAUAACUGUAAGAAGCAUCUUUAACUUGAUAAAUGGUAAAAGAUUGAAGUAGAAGUAAUUUUAUUUCAGCUCCUUUUGGAAUUAAAUAGCCCAGAGAUUCAAGGUGUUGUGUGUCUUUCACUUGGGAUUUUAAAAUACCUAACAGAUGUUGUGGGAUUCUGUUACCGUUUAUUUUCUUGGUUAUGUUUAAAAUCUGGUUGCUUCAGUUUUUUUUGGCCGAAUGGGAGUCCAUCCACUUAAAAUUAGUCUGCAUGCCAUUGUGUCCCUGGGCAUCCAGCCACCUCCACAGGGUGUUGUGGAGAAAACAGCUGCCUGAAUUGUACAUGAUGAGAGAGAUUUAAGACUUCUUGGUAGACAACAUAAAACUGAAUUUCCUGUACCGUAGGUAAAGGUAAGAUUAUACAGUGUUUUGUUACUUUCCUUACAAUGUCAAAACAUUGCUGUGUGGCUCAGUGUGCCCAAAUCAAAGCAGAGUUUCAGGGCAGGUGGAAUACUGUGGCUGCCUGACCUAAGCAUUUAAGUUGCCUGUGUGUUUGAGGAGGCACCACUGGCACAAAGGCAAUGCUCUUUUUUUUUUUUUAAAUCUAAGUAAAACCUGUCAUGUAUAAACUAGCGUGUAGAGCUUAUUUCUAAGCUAAAUAGCAGUGAAAUAAUGUAGAAUGGGGGGUUUUCUAGCCACUACUUUUCUGGAAUGUGUUAUCAGAGGAUGGAGGAAGAAACAGUGGACAAAGAAAAAAGCUUCUUGGACCCCUUUCUACCCCCAGUCUCCUUCAGAAAUCUGGUGGGUGUAUGUUUGUUUGAGAUAAAAAAUCUUGUUUUGGCAAAAUGUUGGCUGAGCUCUCCCUAUUAGUCUGUCAUCAUGAAAAAAACAGAUGUUAAGAUCUCAAGCUGGCAGAUGUUCAUCUAUCCAUUAAAAUUCCUUCUGUUGGAAUAAUAACAAGGAAAGAACAAGCAGGGUGAAGUUUCAACCA